This 498-nucleotide ribosomal RNA is filed under the name uncultured bacterium. Its description in RNAcentral is "partial 16S ribosomal RNA". It matches the Rfam family "Bacterial small subunit ribosomal RNA", at positions 355 to 863 of the family's 1533-position model. The record is from RNAcentral.
UGGGGAAUAUUGCACAAUGGGCGCAAGCCUGAUGCAGCAACGCCGCGUGAGGGAUGACGGCCUUCGGGUUGUAAACCUCUUUUAGCAGGGAAGAAGCGAAAGUGACGGUACCUGCAGAAAAAGCACCGGCUAACUACGUGCCAGCAGCCGCGGUAAUACGUAGGGUGCAAGCGUUGUCCGGAAUUAUUGGGCGUAAAGAGCUCGUAGGCGGUCUGUCGCGUCUGCUGUGAAAUCCCGAGGCUCAACCUCGGGCCUGCAGUGGGUACGGGCAGACUAGAGUGCGGUAGGGGAGAAUGGAACUCCUGGUGUAGCGGUGGAAUGCGCAGAUAUCAGGAAGAACGCCGAUGGCGAAGGCAGUUCUCUGGGCCGUAACUGACGCUGAGGAGCGAAAGCGUGGGGAGCGAACAGGAUUAGAUACCCUGGUAGUCCACGCCGUAAACGUUGGGCGCUAGAUGUGGGGACCAUUCCACGGUUUCCGUGUCGCAGCUAACGCAUUAA